UGUUCAUCCAGCUCUACACCUUGUUAUCUCAGAUUCUCCAGCAUCUGCAGUUCCUACUAUCUCUGGGAUCUAAGGCACGUGCCUCACCUAUUCAUGUGAAAAUCUGAAUGCAGAAAAGCACAUAUAUUGACUCUGUUCUACAAAUACACACGAAACUGAAAGAAAAUACAGUGUUGAGAGUUUUAAUUCACUUGGGAGGGAUAAAAUUAAAUCAUUUUUUUUAAAAAAUCCCUCAAGAUGUCUCUCGUUCUGUCACCCAGUUUGAAGUCCAAUGACUGUCAAUAUACAAGCAAAUAUUGUAUCCAUUCCUCAUAUAAACAGUCUCUAUAAACAAUAAUGAACGGCCAGUUGUACUGAUUUUGGAUGAUUGUAAUCGAGGGAAAAUGUUGACCAGAACACUAUGGACCAGCUCUCUUCUUUACUUGAUGUUAAUAUAUCAGCAAUUUCAAAAAUCAAAAUGGAUGCAUGGGGGCCCAGUUUAAUAUUUUGUCAAAAUUAUGACACCUCUGACAAAGCAGCACUCCAUCAGCACAACACUGGUUUAAAUGCUUAAGUCUUCAGUGGAAGUUGAAUGUAGUUUUAAAGCCAUUAAGUUUGUGCCUUUAAGGAUACAAACUUACACCAUUUUAUUUUGGUUGCAGGUAUUAUCCUGAAGUUAAAUAUUUGGAAGCAGCCCCCUGAUUUAAAAUGCUAUGAUGACCAAAUUUAUUGGGAGUUUCCACACUUAGCAACUAUGAUCUGAAAACAUUCACCAGCACUGUGUCUAUAUGGAAACAAUAAGACUACCGACUACAGAUGUUGAUUAAUUUCCAAAGGUUUGAAGUAAUUUCACAAGAAAUGUACAAAAGAACAAAGGUCUCUUGAAUUUUAGCAAGCGAUAAUGUAUGAUUGUGUCUGCUGGUACCACUGCCCAAAUGUAAUAUAAAACACAUCUAUGCAUGUUGAAAACACAUGUAAAACAAAUGGACUGUGUAAGCAUUUGUCAAAAUGCAAGAGCUUUAUAUAUUGUUUUGUUUUUUCUGUUUUUGAUUAAGUAUUGUACUGAAUAUGUGAAAACUUGCAUUUCUUGAUCAUGUGUAAACUUAUAAGCUAGCAUUAAAAAAUGUUGAAGAAACAUUGACAUAGUAACUAUUUAGAAAAGGUGAAACUUCCUUCAUGGAGUAUUUAACAAAUUCAUUGCACUCUGACUCAUCCAGACCAGGAAGAUUCCAUACUCAGGAUUCCAUGGUCUGUGCUGAGUUAGAUAAUGUCAACUAAGCCAACAAUAUGCUUUUGCAAUUACUUCUGUAUCCCUUGGAAAAGAACAGGAAAAAUCAGCUUGCGUUAUUAUUUCCAUCUAGGAUUUUUGGUGGAAAAAUAUCUGUGAAUAAAACAAAUCAAAUAAUCAGCCAACA
Molecule: long non-coding RNA, 1394 nt
Organism: Rhincodon typus (whale shark)
Lineage: Eukaryota; Metazoa; Chordata; Chondrichthyes; Orectolobiformes; Rhincodontidae
Exons: 2
Source: RefSeq, a predicted model, not a curated record